Manis javanica (Malayan pangolin) is the source of this 1084-nucleotide long non-coding RNA. RefSeq lists it as uncharacterized. The record is from RefSeq and is a predicted model, not a curated record. Lineage: Eukaryota; Metazoa; Chordata; Mammalia; Pholidota; Manidae.
ACGACGGCGUCACUACGCCCUCUAAGGCCCCGCGUGAGUCUGGAGAUGGAGGGGCCGCGGUGGGGGUGCCGGGAGGACCCCGGGCUGCUGCAGCACCCCGGAAGCACAGCCGCGGGCCGCCCCCUCCUAGGCGCUCCGGCCCACCUGCAGCUGAGGCCGACGCUGGGCUUGCAUUUCCUCCCCCAGCUGCACACAAGCACAGACCCGGGCGAGUCACCGGAGCCGCCGCCCCCGUGCCCGCCCCGCCCUGUGUGCCUGGCGACGGAGAAGGGAAAGCGCUUCCCGUGCUAAGACCUCCCUGCGGAACGCGAGGCCUGGGCCGAGGGAAAAAUGAGACUGUCAGGGACCCAGCAGCCAGUUCUUCAGCCGCCCCGACGAGGGCCUGUUGCUCUUUGGUCUCAGACAUUGGAUUUUGGAGAACAUACUAGUGUUCUCUGAGCCUCCCAGCAGUGGUGCUCUUUGUGGGUGCAGGAGGCCUGUCUGGGGUCAGGAGAACUUGAGCGGUGGAAGCCUGUGAGGAAGGAGACCUUACUUCCAUGUUUCCCCGUGUGGCUGCUCAGGGGAGCUGUCACAUGGGGGGCUGUGGGCGUGAGAGAUGCAGAGCCCUAAGCCCUGGGCUGGCCUCAGGCGGCGGCGCUGGAGUGAAGGCCGUUCCCCAGGCCGGCUCAGGGUGGAGCGCCUGCCUCGCUGGGUCCUCCAAGGUCCACGGCCCUUCCUCAACCUCCCCAGACCUACUUGCGUUUAGCAUCUGUCAAAGUCUUCAGCGUCCGAGUAUCUCCAGGAGGACUCCCUGAAGCCAGUGGUGUCAGCGUUUGCUCAAGCGAGGACUGCAUUCCCAGAACCCACUGUCAGGCAUGUGCUCUAGCGUCUCCUGAUUCCCACCUGACCCAACUGGCUGCUAACAUUGCCUGUUGAGACUGAGAAGACAUGAAAACCCUGGGCAUCUCCCGCGAGGCUGCAGACCGAGCAUGAGGAUGUAGACAUUGUUCAACUCGCAGGCUGGCUGUCAGAUUGGGGUUUCUUCUGCUUUGCACAUCUGUGAGGACUUCUUUCACAGAGAAUGUUUUAGGAGUGUUUUCAGAAA